This 489-nucleotide ribosomal RNA is filed under the name uncultured bacterium. Its description in RNAcentral is "partial 16S ribosomal RNA". It matches the Rfam family "Bacterial small subunit ribosomal RNA", at positions 28 to 507 of the family's 1533-position model. The record is from RNAcentral.
GAUGAACGCUAGCUAUAGGCUUAACACAUGCAAGUCGAGGGGCAGCAUGGUCUUAGCUUGCUAAGGCCGAUGGCGACCGGCGCACGGGUGAGUAACACGUAUCCAACCUGCCGUCUACUCUUGGACAGCCUUCUGAAAGGAAGAUUAAUACAAGAUGGCAUCAUGAGUCCGCAUGUUCACAUGAUUAAAGGUAUUCCGGUAGACGAUGGGGAUGCGUUCCAUUAGAUAGUAGGCGGGGUAACGGCCCACCUAGUCUUCGAUGGAUAGGGGUUCUGAGAGGAAGGUCCCCACAUUGGAACUGAGACACGGUCCAAACUCCUACGGGAGGCAGCAGUGAGGAAUAUUGGUCAAUGGGCGAGAGCCUGAACCAGCCAAGUAGCGUGAAGGAUGACUGCCCUAUGGGUUGUAAACUUCUUUUAUAAAGGAAUAAAGUCGGGUAUGGAUACCCGUUUGCAUGUACUUUAUGAAUAAGGAUCGGCUAACUCCGUG